RNAcentral lists this ribosomal RNA (209 nucleotides) under uncultured Streptococcus sp. Its description in RNAcentral is "partial 16S ribosomal RNA". It matches the Rfam family "Bacterial small subunit ribosomal RNA", at positions 1174 to 1382 of the family's 1533-position model. Lineage: Bacteria; Bacillati; Bacillota; Bacilli; Lactobacillales; Streptococcaceae. The record is from RNAcentral.
UGGGGAUGACGUCAAAUCAUCAUGCCCCUUAUGACCUGGGCUACACACGUGCUACAAUGGUUGGUACAACGAGUUGCGAGUCGGUGACGGCGAGCUAAUCUCUUAAAGCCAAUCUCAGUUCGGAUUGUAGGCUGCAACUCGCCUACAUGAAGUCGGAAUCGCUAGUAAUCGCGGAUCAGCACGCCGCGGUGAAUACGUUCCCGGGCCUU